RNAcentral lists this transfer RNA (75 nucleotides) under Pseudomonadota bacterium. RNAcentral's name for it is "tRNA-Val". It matches the Rfam family "tRNA". From Rfam's summary of the family: Transfer RNA (tRNA) molecules are approximately 80 nucleotides in length. Lineage: Bacteria; Pseudomonadati; Pseudomonadota. RNAcentral also lists the same sequence under 4 other names. The record is from RNAcentral.
AGGCACGUAGCUCAGGGGGAGAGCGCCACCCUGACACGGUGGAGGUCCCGGGUUCAAAUCCCGGCGUGCCUACCA